This 811-nucleotide non-coding RNA is filed under the name Aglaomorpha histrio. Lineage: Eukaryota; Metazoa; Arthropoda; Insecta; Lepidoptera; Erebidae. The record is from RNAcentral.
UAAAAAUGUUUAUAGUUUGGAUAAUUUAUUUAAAGUUUAUUUUACAUAUAAAUUUUAGUGUUAAAUUUAAAUUAUUUUAAUAAUAAUUUAAAUUAAUUAAUGUGUAGUAAUUAAUAUUAAAUUAUUUAAGAAAUUGAGAUUUAGUAAUAUUUAAAUUUAUAACAAAUUUUGUGCCAGCAGUUGCGGUUAAACAAAAAUUGAGUUAAAUUUUAUUAGUAAUUAAUUAAUAAAUAGAUAAUAAUUUAAAAUUUAAAUUAUUAGGUGAAAUUUUAAUUUAAGAAAAUAUUAUUUUAAUUUUAUGAUUUGAUAAUUUUUUAAAAAGACUAGGAUUAGAUACCCUAUUAUGAAAAUUUUAAAUUUAAAAUACUAAAAUAGUAAAUAAUUAUUUAUUGAAACUUAAAUAAUUUGGCGGUAUUUUAGUUCAUUUAGAGGAAUCUGUUUAAUAAUUGAUAAUCCACGAAUAAAUUUACUUAAUUUAGAAUUUUGUAUAUCGUUGUUAAAAAAAUAUUUUUUAAUAAUAUUAAUAUUUAAAAAUUUUUAUUUAAAAUUAAAUCAGAUCAAGAUGCAGAUUAUAAUUAAGAAUAUAAUGGAUUACAAUAAUUUUAUUUAGAUGAAUUUUAAUUUGAAAAAAUUAAUUGAAAGUGGAUUUAAAUGUAAUUUUAUUUAAUUUAAUAAAAUGAUUAUAAAUUAAAAUAUGUACAUAUUGCCCGUCGCUUUCAUAUGUAUGUAUAUAUAGUUAUUAUAUAUAUAUUUAAAUAAAUUGAAAUAAGUCGUAACAAAGUAGAGGUACUGGAAAGUGUUUCUAGAAAGA